CUCUCCCUGGCAGAGCUUAUGUUUUCAGAGCCACAGAGAUUAAGUUGAGCCCCUCCUCUCUGACCCUGGGGUUUGUACAAAAACUGGGUUAAGGCUGGGUAAGUCCAGAUUCUCGGUUAUAAUCUUGACAGAGCUGGGCUCUAAUCCCAGUUGAGGCCAACAACCAGUGGCAGCCUCGGAGAACAUGGCCAGAGCCUUGGUGAGAACACUGAGCAGACGUGGAGACAGCUUGGGCUCCAGGUGUCCAAGUCCAAGGUGGCCACUUGGUGUUCCAGCCAAGCCACCUCACUUUGGCCCCAGCUUCAAGGAGAAGGCCCCGUCCCAUGCUUUGGGAGAAGAUUCAUUAGGUUUUUGCCUUUGGAGCUGGGGCAGGAAUCCAGGACUGCAUACUCUACCACUGAGAUCCCUCCUUUGAGAUGGAAUAGAAGACAAAUGAACAAGCCAGCUGUUACUGUAUGAAAAAAGGAAAUGACUUAGGACACCCCAGAGGAGCUAAAGAACCUGGUUCCCCAGAUGGCUACACCGAGCAGAGCCGCGUCCAGGCUGCACCUUUCAGGCUCCGUGCAUUGUUCAUGGUGGACAAGAAACUGCCUCUGUUUGAGCACUCUA
This is a long non-coding RNA of Cavia porcellus (domestic guinea pig), 609 nucleotides long. RefSeq lists it as uncharacterized. Lineage: Eukaryota; Metazoa; Chordata; Mammalia; Rodentia; Caviidae. The record is from RefSeq and is a predicted model, not a curated record. The transcript is spliced from 3 exons.